Molecule: ribosomal RNA, 247 nt
Filed under: uncultured bacterium
Lineage: Bacteria
Description: partial 16S ribosomal RNA
Rfam family: Bacterial small subunit ribosomal RNA
Source: RNAcentral
GACAGAGGGUGCAAACGUUGCUCGGAAUUACUGGGCGUAAAGGGCGUGUAGGCGGGAAGGCAAGUCGGGCGUGAAAGCCCCAGGCUCAACCUGGGAACUGCACUCGAAACUGCCUUUCUUGAGUGCCGGAGAGGAAAGCGGAAUUCCUGGUGUAGAGGUGAAAUUCGUAGAUAAUCAGGAGGAACACCAGUGGCGAAGGCGGCUUUCUGGACGGUAACUGACGCUGAGACGCGAAAGCGUGGGAGCA